This 478-nucleotide ribosomal RNA is filed under the name uncultured bacterium. Its description in RNAcentral is "partial 16S ribosomal RNA". It matches the Rfam family "Bacterial small subunit ribosomal RNA", at positions 28 to 507 of the family's 1533-position model. The record is from RNAcentral.
GAUGAACGCUGGCGGCGUGCUUAACACAUGCAAGUCGAACGAGAAAUGGAGACGGAAACCUUCGGGCGGAAGGCUUCAUUUCGAGUGGCGGACGGGUGAGUAACGCGUGGGUAACCUGCCUCAUACAUGGGGAUAACAGUUGGAAACGACUGUUAAUACCGCAUAAGACCACAGCACCGCAUGGUGCGGGGGUAAAAACUCCGGUGGUAUGAGAUGGACCCGCGUUCGAUUAGCCAGUUGGCGGGGUAACGGCCCACCAAAGCGACGAUCGAUAGCCGAUCUGAGAGGAUGACCGGCCACAUUGGGACUGAGACACGGCCCAAACUCCUACGGGAGGCAGCAGUGGGGAAUAUUGCACAAUGGGGGAAACCCUGAUGCAGCGACGCCGCGUGAGUGAAGAAGUACUUCGGUAUGUAAAGCUCUAUCAGCAGGGAAGAAAAUGACGGUACCUGAGGAAGAAGCCCCGGCUAACUACGUG